RNAcentral lists this transfer RNA (71 nucleotides) under Stegodyphus mimosarum. It matches the Rfam family "tRNA". Rfam says of the family: Transfer RNA (tRNA) molecules are approximately 80 nucleotides in length. Their secondary structure includes four short double-helical elements and three loops (D, anti-codon, and T loops). Further hydrogen bonds mediate the characteristic L-shaped molecular structure. tRNAs have two regions of fundamental functional importance: the anti-codon, which is responsible for specific mRNA codon recognition, and the 3' end, to which the tRNAs corresponding amino acid is attached (by aminoacyl-tRNA synthetases). tRNAs cope with the degeneracy of the genetic code in two manners: having more than one tRNA (with a specific anti-codon) for a particular amino acid; and 'wobble' base-pairing, i.e. permitting non-standard base-pairing at the 3rd anti-codon position. The record is from Rfam by way of RNAcentral. Lineage: Eukaryota; Metazoa; Arthropoda; Arachnida; Araneae; Eresidae.
GCCUUUGUGGUAUAACAGUAGUACGCUCGGCGCGUAUUCGAGAGGUCCAGGUUCGAAUCCCGGCGAGGGUA